CAGAAACCAACAACUAAAGCAAUUUAUACCGUCCAGUAGUUAUUACAUUAACUAUAAAAACAUUUUAUGACUAAACUAACCUAUCAUUAGUUUAUAAAAUGUCGCGUUAUUACAAAAUUGUAUUAAAUUAAACAUCUUUAAAGUUCCAACAAUUUUGUACACUGAUUUUACUCGAAAUAAUUAUUUUAUUCGCAAGACAAUCUACUGUUUUACUGUGAAUAACUAUAUUUGCGAAUCGGGAAUG
Paramuricea clavata is the source of this 244-nucleotide non-coding RNA. The record is from the annotation of a GenBank genome assembly. NCBI's taxonomy places the organism in Eukaryota, Metazoa, Cnidaria, Anthozoa, Malacalcyonacea, Plexauridae.